This 253-nucleotide ribosomal RNA is filed under the name uncultured bacterium. RNAcentral describes it as "partial 16S ribosomal RNA". It matches the Rfam family "Bacterial small subunit ribosomal RNA", at positions 524 to 776 of the family's 1533-position model. The record is from RNAcentral.
UACGUAGGGUGCGAGCGUUAAUCGGCAUUACUGGGCGUAAAGCGCGCGUAGGUGGCCCUGUAAGUCCGUUGUGAAAGUCAAAGGCUCAACCUUUGAAAGCCGAUGGAUACUGCAGGACUAGAGUACGGAAGAGGCGAGUGGAAUUCCUGGUGUAGCGGUGGAAUGCGCAGAUAUCAGGAGGAACACCAAUAGCGAAGGCAGCUCGCUGGGACGUUACUGACACUGAGGCGCGAAAGCGUGGGGAGCGAACAGG